UACAUGGGGUGCAAACGUUGCUCGGAAUCAUUGGGCGUAAAGCGCGCGUAGGCGGUUAUUUAAGUUGGAUGUGAAAGCCCUCGGCUUAACUGAGGAAGUGCAUCCAAAACUGAAUAGCUAGAGUACGAAAGAGGGUCGCGGAAUUCCGAGUGUAGAGGUGAAAUUCGUAGAUAUUCGGAAGAACACCAGUGGCGAAGGCGGCUCACUGGCCCGUUACCGACGCUCAGGCGCGACAGCGUGGGGAGCAAACAGG
RNAcentral lists this ribosomal RNA (253 nucleotides) under uncultured bacterium. RNAcentral's name for it is "partial 16S ribosomal RNA". It matches the Rfam family "Bacterial small subunit ribosomal RNA", at positions 524 to 776 of the family's 1533-position model. The record is from RNAcentral.